This 1125-nucleotide long non-coding RNA is filed under the name Sus scrofa (pig). Its description in RNAcentral is "lncRNA (ENSSSCG00040064235.1)". Lineage: Eukaryota; Metazoa; Chordata; Mammalia; Artiodactyla; Suidae. The record is from RNAcentral.
CUUAUUAGAGGAAUGGUUGAAAGGAUACUGUAUGGGUUACAGAUUCCCUAGGAAGUUUGAACCAUAAAAGGUCGGGAUUUAAGCGCUAAGUGGUGCAAAUCACGGCCCAAACCAUGCUCCCAAGCUUUCUUCACUGCCACUAUUACCCACCCUUCCAGAUCACAUGAACCCAAUUAAGUCCUUUUCUGGCCAGGUGCUGCUCCUGCCAAUGGAAGGACACCAGGUUCAACAAAGCGGAGAAGCAGCUUUAUUGUUAAUCAAAGAACGGGGAAGGCAGAGCGCUUGCUCUCAUUACCCCUUUCCCCCUAGGGGGCAGAAGUGAGAAACGGUUAGAGGAUAAGAGGUGGAUGGGCCAUCAGAAUUCAGGAAGAGGUGCAGCAAGGGCUAGAAACAGCUGGAGCACGCGUAGUCCUUUGGGACCCUUUGCCAGGUCAUUAAUUGGAGGCUGAUCUUGGCUGGUAAUCAGGCAAGGGCAACUUUCCCACCCCUUUGGUCUCAUCUGCGCGUGCGCUACCCUCAUGGUCAGGCUCAACUGGUUCAUAGCAGUUGCCUGUAGCCUUCUUGGCCUGUUCUCACACUGACUACUUCUGCAGUUUUCCUUAUGAGCUGUUUGCGUUAGUUUAUCAAGCAAGCACAGCAGUGGACAUAGAUUAAUAGAUUGUGAUGCAGAAAAAAAAAGGAAAGUAGGUUAUUCUCUGUAGGGGAGUGGGUCUCUUCCCAGUGACCCCACCACUGCCUCUGGAAACAUUCUCUGCCAGAGCUGGAAAAGAUUCUCCUGCGUCCUUGCUUCGGAUUAGCCAAGCCUGAAGUUUGGAUCCUUCCCCUGGCUACCAGCCUUGCCUGCAGCUAAAAUGACUGGCAUAAUUCACUUUCUGGCUGCAAGGAGCUGGGAAGUGGACUAUGAAGAAUCUCUCAUCUGCUGCUCGCUCAGCCUGUUUUCAGCAAUAUUAUCAGUCCUACACACCACAUCCAUUAUUUCAUGUGGCUUCUACCCUUUUACUCUGCUGCACAAAAAUAGGGAAAUCUCCUUUUUGUCCUUCAAACCUACCACAUGGUUUGGCUGCUUUUACCUGGUAUACAUUUGAAUCAGGCCCAACUACAAUUGUGGGAGGUGAUAUCUGUUGA